UGUAGCUCAGUGGUAGAGCACUUGCCUAGCAUGUCAGAGGCCCUGGGUUUAACCCCCAGCA
RNAcentral lists this transfer RNA (61 nucleotides) under Ictidomys tridecemlineatus (thirteen-lined ground squirrel). RNAcentral's name for it is "Spermophilus tridecemlineatus (thirteen-lined ground squirrel) tRNA". It matches the Rfam family "tRNA", at positions 6 to 65 of the family's 71-position model. Rfam says of the family: Transfer RNA (tRNA) molecules are approximately 80 nucleotides in length. Their secondary structure includes four short double-helical elements and three loops (D, anti-codon, and T loops). The record is from Rfam by way of RNAcentral. Lineage: Eukaryota; Metazoa; Chordata; Mammalia; Rodentia; Sciuridae. RNAcentral also lists the same sequence under 1 other name.